This 808-nucleotide ribosomal RNA is filed under the name Gymnoascus halophilus. RNAcentral's name for it is "eukaryotic LSU rRNA". It matches the Rfam family "Eukaryotic large subunit ribosomal RNA", at positions 75 to 894 of the family's 3401-position model. The record is from RNAcentral. Lineage: Eukaryota; Fungi; Ascomycota; Eurotiomycetes; Onygenales; Gymnoascaceae.
UUGCCUCAGUAACGGCGAGUGAAGCGGCAACAGCUCAAAUUUGAAAUCUGGCCUCCCCUGGGGGUCCGAGUUGUAAUUUGCAGAGGAUGCUUCGGGUGCGGCCGCGGCGUAAGUCCCCUGGAACGGGGCGUCGCAGAGGGUGAGAAUCCCGUCUUGCGCCGCCGGUGCGCGCCCGUGUGAAGCUCCUUCGACGAGUCGAGUUGUUUGGGAAUGCAGCUCUAAAUGGGUGGUAAAUUUCAUCUAAAGCUAAAUACCGGCUGGAGACCGAUAGCGCACAAGUAGAGUGAUCGAAAGGUUAAAAGCACCUUGAAAAGGGAGUUAAAUAGCACGUGAAAUUGUUGAAAGGGAAGCGCUUGCGACCAGACUCGGCCGCGGGGGCUCAGCGGGCACGCGUUGCCCGUGCGCUCCCCCGUGGUCGGGCCAGCGUCAGUUCUGGCGGUCGGUCAAAGGCCCCUGGAAGGUAACGCCCCUCGGGGCGUCUUAUAGCCAGGGGUGCAAUGCGGCCCGCCGGGACUGAGGAACGCGCUUCGGCUCGGACGCUGGCGUAAUGGUCGUAAGCGGCCCGUCUUGAAACACGGACCAAGGAGUCUAACAUCCACGCGAGUGUUCGGGUGUCAAACCCGUGCGCGCAGUGAAAGCGAACGGAGGUGAGAUCCCCCUCGCGGGGCGCAUCAUCGACCGAUCCUGAUGUCUUCGGAUGGAUUUGAGUAGGAGCGUGGCUGUUGGGACCCGAAAGAUGGUGAACUAUGCCUGAAUAGGGUGAAGCCAGAGGAAACUCUGGUGGAGGCUCGCAGCGGUUCUGACGUGC